CCUACGGGUGGCAGCAGUGGGGAAUAUUGCACAAUGGGGGAAACCCUGAUGCAGCGACGCCGCGUGAGUGAAGAAGGAUUUCUGUGUGUAAAGCUCUAUCAGCAGGGAAGAAGACAGACGGUACCUGACUAAUAAGCCCCGGCUAACUACGUGCCAGCAGCCGCGGUAAUACGUAGGGGGCGAGCGUUAUCCGGAUUUACUGGGUUUAACGGGAGCGUAGACGGCUGGGGAAGUCUGAAGUGAAAGCCCAGGGCUCAACUCUGGAAUUGCUUUGGAAACUGUGGAGCUAGAGUGCUGGUGCGGUAAGCGGAAUGCAUGGUGUAGCGGUGAAAUGCGUAGAGAUUAGGAGGAACACCAGUGGCGAAGGCGGCUUACCGGACAGCAACUGACGUUGAGGCUCGAAAGCGUGGGGAGCAAACAGGAUUAGAUACCCUUGUAGUC
This 441-nucleotide ribosomal RNA is filed under the name uncultured bacterium. RNAcentral's name for it is "partial 16S ribosomal RNA". It matches the Rfam family "Bacterial small subunit ribosomal RNA", at positions 338 to 795 of the family's 1533-position model. The record is from RNAcentral.